This 28-nucleotide non-coding RNA is filed under the name Mus musculus (house mouse). The record is from RNAcentral. Lineage: Eukaryota; Metazoa; Chordata; Mammalia; Rodentia; Muridae.
UUGGACAUGCUAGGCUAUCAGACACAUC